GAUGGGGCCCCGAUUCGAAGAGCUCGCCACCAUCAGACGAGGAGGAGUAGGAGGAGGGGAGUCCGAGCGCGCGGUGGGCGGCGGCGCGUCGCUCCGCAUCUCCCCAGGGCCUCGCCCCCCUCGAUGAAAGUGGGAGGAGGAGAGGAGGGAGGGACGAGGAGUAGCAGGGGGAGACGGGAGGUCGGGGGCUGGGGAUGACGGGAGAAAGGGAAAGGAGUGCCUCACUCCUCAGGCCUCGUGGGCUCGUGGCGUGGACGGACAGGAGGAGAAGGCCCACUUAAAAAACGCGUCUAACCGGUCGGGACGAACGCGGGCUGUUCGAUCGAUCCAAUGGCGUGAACAGGUCUAGCGACUUUGACCUGAGAUUCAAGCCAUUAUUCAAAUGCAAAAGGAAGAUUUGGUGAAGCUGCUUAAUGCGUGCUGCUUUUUGGAUAACAUUUGAGAAUGAAUGCACGCUGACUUCAGUACAGGGAGCUUGGUUGGUUCUGAUGCUUUGCUAAAUGCGAAAAAAUGAAGCACCUUCGUCGACUCGGAGGAACUCGGCCAGAAUAUACCUUUCAGCGUAGGAAGUGGAAUGGACGCAGGCUUUAUGGACUUUCAGUGAGCAGCUUGUUGUUUUCAUGGUGGAACUGGAGAAAUUUCAGAGUUUGUUCACAUCCAAAAUGUCUUUUGGAGUUCACGCGUUUCUUCUCGCGAUAUCUCAUAUGUUUUGCCAUGAAUUGUCCAAUAGUGUCAAGCAGAAUUGGUCCGAUCACUUCGUAGAAAUAAUCAUGCUGCAGUCAUGCUGAGCUUUGUGUUUUGCCAUGGUGUUAUUAUUUUUCUAGAAUACGCCAUGGUGUCAUUAUUAUUCGGAAAAAAAAAAAGAAAUGGCCGAGCAGAUGUCACCAAUUUUCGGUCAGUUCUCUCAUUAGAUUCUGCUGUCGUGUACCCAUGCUACGACUGAUCUGCCAAACCACAAUGAGAGGAGUUCCAACAAUCAGUUUCAGUAAGGAAUCGAUCUUUACCGAUGGAGAUGCUACAAAGGAGAACACAUUCUAAAAGCGGCGUGGCACUGGAUUCCUCGUAUCAUGUUUACAUUGGGGAGAUGAGCCACAUCUAUAAAAGAGAUGUGAAUGUGUGAUACUGCAAAGCAGCUUUCCGACAACCACUCGUGUCCCCACGGCCGGGAGAGCAGACUACGGCUGAUCAUCAUCAGUGGAUUCCAAGGCAAGUAGUACUUCGGGGGCCGGGGUUAUUUCAGACGUCCGAUCUCCUGCGCCCUUUGCCAUGAAGUGAAGGCCACUCAUGAACUCUCCAAAACAAAAUUUACGGCAGUUCCAUUCCACACUCCACGGAAUUAAUAAAACAACAAACAAUCAAUGCAUUCUUAGCUCGAUCCCUGUCAAGUGUCAAUCAUGACAUUCAGUCUUUCACCCGUGGUGUUAACUGUAAGCUCAUGCCGUUUACAUGAACACCGAUCUCGCGCAUCAAGACCCGUCGACACGCGACAGUCAUUUGAACUUUCAGAGAUAGAGAGAGAUCAGCAAAAGAAGGAGCAUGCUGUCAUGGCAUGGGAGUAGUCAAAAGGGUUGCGCUUGCGUUCUUGCAUGCAUGCUGGUGCUGCUGCUGAGCUUGUUCAGGAACACAAUCUUUGGACCACCCCCCACUUUCUUCAUGCCAAAUGCUAACCACGCCCUUAACUAAACAUACAGUGGUUACCUGACUUGGCAGACACGAUCGGUCGCCCUGGUUAUUCAUUUAUAAAUGUUUUCAUUGUGUCAA
Long non-coding RNA from Brachypodium distachyon (stiff brome), 1761 nucleotides. RefSeq lists it as uncharacterized. Lineage: Eukaryota; Viridiplantae; Streptophyta; Magnoliopsida; Poales; Poaceae. The transcript has 2 exons. The record is from RefSeq and is a predicted model, not a curated record.